Molecule: ribosomal RNA, 497 nt
Filed under: uncultured bacterium
Lineage: Bacteria
Description: partial 16S ribosomal RNA
Rfam family: Bacterial small subunit ribosomal RNA
Source: RNAcentral
GAUGAACGCUGGCGGCGUGCCUAAUACAUGCAAGUCGAGCGAACGGACGAGAAGCUUGCUUCUCUGACGUUAGCGGCGGACGGGUGAGUAACACGUGGAUAACCUACCUAUAAGACUGGGAUAACUUCGGGAAACCGGAGCUAAUACCGGAUAAUAUUUUGAACCGCAUGGUUCAAAAGUGAAAGACGGUUUUGCUGUCACUUAUAGAUGGAUCCGCGCUGCAUUAGCUAGUUGGUAAGGUAACGGCUUACCAAGGCAACGAUGCGUAGCCGACCUGAGAGGGUGAUCGGCCACACUGGAACUGAGACACGGUCCAGACUCCUACGGGAGGCAGCAGUAGGGAAUCUUCCGCAAUGGGCGAAAGCCUGACGGAGCAACGCCGCGUGAGUGAUGAAGGUCUUCGGAUCGUAAAACUCUGUUAUUAGGGAAGAACAAAUGUGUAAGUAACUGUGCACAUCUUGACGGUACCUAAUCAGAAAGCCACGGCUAACUACGUG